Molecule: ribosomal RNA, 936 nt
Filed under: Triticum aestivum (bread wheat)
Lineage: Eukaryota; Viridiplantae; Streptophyta; Magnoliopsida; Poales; Poaceae
Description: partial small subunit ribosomal RNA
Source: RNAcentral
AUGAGGAGAAAGCAGACCUUGCAUAUUGCAUCAAUCAUAGCGAUGAAGAAACUCUCGUUGUUCAUGGGGCUGCUUGUGCUUCUGUUGUUUCCAGUGCUGUCGCGACAAGACGGUUUUGAUCAACAGGUGGCAUUGCAAGAGACUAAGAGUAGUGUAGCCACAUUGACACUUGACGCCAAGCUCUCCAUAGCAGAAGCCUCAAGGCUUGGUAAUAGCAUUGACCCAGACACUAUCUUUGGUGGUGAAGAUGGCUUGUACAAGAACAUCAUGUUCCGUGAGAAGGUGUUCAUGGAAAAGGUAACCCUUCGUCACACUAUGACCAAGGGCAAGGAUGGCAUGCUCCUCGGCUCUAGUGGUAGUAGCACUGUUACCAUAGAGUUUGACUAUUUCAUUGCCUAUGGUAUUAUCAUCAAGAAUGAUGCACUUCCUUCCAAGGCGGGCGGCAAACAAGUGCACGCCACUGCGUUGCAUGUCAUGGGCACAAAGGCAAUUUUCUAUAACUGCACCGUCGAGGCCGGCCAGAGAGCCUUUAUCAUCUCUACUAACAAAGAUAUCACCAACAUGGUAGUGGCACAAGAGGGGCGGGCCAGCGAGAGCCGUAUCAACCGUGAGAGCGGUUUCUCCUUCAAGAAUUGUACCAUCAAGGGUGAGGGGAAACCAAUAUUCUUAGGAAGGGCAUGGGGGAAAUUCUCGCAGGUACUUAUAUCCCUUUUCCCAUCUGACGACGGGCGUGGGUACAAUUUCGCUUUUGUUUCUCCGCCCCCGACGUCCGCACCGAGCCCCUCUCCCUCAACCAUCUCUUCGCCCUCAUGUCCAACUUCGAUCGGAGGGUCGAACUAUUCUAGGGCGCUGAUGGCAACUUCAAAUUGUCCGCUAAUGCCGCUGCUCAUGGCGCCGUGGUCCACCCAAGGGCUACCGUGGCAAACCGCGAAGUAA